UCCAAAAUGUCCGCAGCACGAGGGUAGU
Molecule: non-coding RNA, 28 nt
Filed under: Bombyx mori (domestic silkworm)
Lineage: Eukaryota; Metazoa; Arthropoda; Insecta; Lepidoptera; Bombycidae
Source: RNAcentral